GGGGUUUCGUUUUAUUUUGCAAUCCUAAUAUGGAUUAGGAGGUGUGAAAAGGGGCACUUAUCCAACAACAUUUUGAGAUCAAAUUAUAGAUACUGGUUUAUGUACUUUUGGUAGCUGGGUGCAGGAGACAUCUUUUGUGCCUACCCUUGAAACUUUGAUAAUAAAAAAGUGUAAAAUGGCACACAAACACUAACAAUAAACAGAGAUUGGGGAAUCGGCAAUUGUUGUUAAUU
RNAcentral lists this long non-coding RNA (233 nucleotides) under Glycine max (soybean). RNAcentral's name for it is "long non-coding RNA (GMAX_LNC002204)". The record is from RNAcentral. Lineage: Eukaryota; Viridiplantae; Streptophyta; Magnoliopsida; Fabales; Fabaceae.